This 444-nucleotide ribosomal RNA is filed under the name uncultured bacterium. Its description in RNAcentral is "SSU rRNA". It matches the Rfam family "Bacterial small subunit ribosomal RNA", at positions 26 to 518 of the family's 1533-position model. The record is from RNAcentral.
AGAACGAACGCUGGCGGCAGGCUUAACACAUGCAAGUCGAACGCCCCGCGAGGGGAGUGGCAGACGGGUGAGUAACGCGUGGGAAUCUACCCAGAACUUCGGAACAACUGAGGGAAACUUCAGCUAAUACCGGAUACGCCCUACGGGGGAAAGAUUUAUCGGUUCUGGAUGAGCCCGCGUUGGAUUAGCUAGUUGGUGGGGUAAUGGCCUACCAAGGCGACGAUCCAUAGCUGGUCUGAGAGGAUGAUCAGCCACACUGGGACUGAGACACGGCCCAGACUCCUACGGGAGGCAGCAGUGGGGAAUAUUGGACAAUGGGCGAAAGCCUGAUCCAGCCAUGCCGCGUGAGUGAUGAAGGCCUUAGGGUUGUAAAGCUCUUUCAGUAGGGAAGAUAAUGACGGUACCUACAGAAGAAGCCCCGGAUAACUUCGUGCCAGCAGCCGC